GGGGAUUUAGCUCACGGGUAGAGCGCUCCCUUAAUGUGGGUGAGGGCUGGGGUUCAAUUCCCCAUAUCUCCA
This 72-nucleotide transfer RNA is filed under the name Toxocara canis (dog roundworm). It matches the Rfam family "tRNA". Rfam says of the family: Transfer RNA (tRNA) molecules are approximately 80 nucleotides in length. Lineage: Eukaryota; Metazoa; Nematoda; Chromadorea; Rhabditida; Toxocaridae. The record is from Rfam by way of RNAcentral.